GACGAACGCUGGCGGCGUGCCUAAUACAUGCAAGUCGAACGCAUUUUCUUUCACCGUAGCUUGCUACACCGAAAGAAAAUGAGUGGCGAACGGGUGAGUAACACGUGGGUAACCUGCCCAUCAGCGGGGGAUAACACUUGGAAACAGGUGCUAAUACCGCAUAAUUCCAUUUACCGCAUGGUAGAUGGGUGAAAGGCGCUUUUGCGUCCCUGAUGGAUGGACCCGCGGUGCAUUAGCUAGUGGGUGGGGUAACGGCCUACCAAGGCUGCGAUGCAUAGCCGACCUGAGAGGGUGCUCGGCCACACUGGGACUGAGACACGGCCCAGACUCCUACGGGAGGCAGCAGUAGGGAAUCUUCGGCGAUGGACGCAAGUCUGACCGAGCAACGCCGCGUGAGUGAAGAAGGUUUUCGGAUCGUAAAACUCUGUUGUUAGAGAAGAACAAGGAUGAGAGUGGAAAGUUCAUCCCUUGACGGUAUCUAACCAGAAAGCCACGGCUAACUACGUG
Molecule: ribosomal RNA, 507 nt
Filed under: uncultured bacterium
Lineage: Bacteria
Description: partial 16S ribosomal RNA
Rfam family: Bacterial small subunit ribosomal RNA
Source: RNAcentral